CCUUGAGCACAGGCCCAGGGAUUUUGUGGUGAAAACAGCAACCAUAACAGCUGAGGCAGGUGCUAGGAGGCUGUGCCCUCAUCCCCUAGGCCCACCUGAUGCUACCUGCAGUUGCUGUGGAAAGUUCCAGAACACUGAUGACUUCCCAUCCGGGGCACCCGCUCUCUCAGGAGAGUCAACAAUAGGCCGGGGUUGUUUCAUCUUCCUGAAUAAGCAAGCAGGUUAUUCUGAGAGCUGAUUGACAUAUGCAUGGGCAGAUGUUUUAUAAACUGCAUUCUCUACAAACUGAAGGGGCAAAUGUGAUGGAUUCCAAGGCUCCACAAGACAUUAUCAUGGUCAAUGUCCAGCAGACCAGAUAUGGGGUGAUCAAUUGUUUGAAGGUAAAAGUUGUCAAGAAUAACUUUAGACUUUGCUGGGAAUGCAAUAUCUUCUGACAAGGAGGAGUUGGCUGGAACAGCCUGGGCUCUGUACCUGUCCCUCAGAUGUCCUUUGGUGCUUUAGCCCAGUGACUCAUCGAUCUCCCAGGUGAAACAGGCGACUUCCUUCACUGCCUUUCUCUGGGAGCACGAUGAGCACUAAUUACCCGCUCACUGCCAAGCUGGCACCCGGCAUGAGCUGUCAGGAGCCUGCAGUCCCUUCCUGAAGUGUGCAGGUAAGUGAACACAAGCAGGAGAAGAACCAGUGAGCAUGGCGGGGCCACGGAUGGCGUCUGCUGGACUAGCCUCCUGCUUCUUCCUCUGCUGCUCCAAGUCCCCUGCAGGACUAGCUGGGUCCCCCCAUCUCCCCGCCCAACUGCUGUCCAGGGACCCCAUGCCCCUUUGCUCACCAAGGAGGCUCGUGUCUUCUACCGAGGACAGCUGCCUUCAACCUUGGCUGCUCAUUAAAAC
RNAcentral lists this long non-coding RNA (887 nucleotides) under Homo sapiens (human). Its description in RNAcentral is "HSALNT0232435". Lineage: Eukaryota; Metazoa; Chordata; Mammalia; Primates; Hominidae. The record is from RNAcentral.